AAGUCUCCUGUUUAUUCACAGGACAGGUACAGUACUAUCCAGAGCAAUGAAAGCUUUCCCCACACUACCAUGGCCAUCUGCCUCCACCUCCACCUGGAAGGACCUGCCUAGUGGGAUGGCAGAGUUGUU
Molecule: small RNA, 129 nt
Filed under: Gopherus agassizii (Agassiz's desert tortoise)
Lineage: Eukaryota; Metazoa; Chordata; Testudines; Testudinidae
Description: TUC338 (ENSGAGG00000008408.1)
Source: RNAcentral